UCUUUAAUAGCUCAGCGGUAGAGCGGAUGGCUGUUAACCAUCAAGUCGUUGGUUCGAAUCCAACUUGAAGAG
RNAcentral lists this transfer RNA (72 nucleotides) under Coscinodiscus granii. RNAcentral's name for it is "tRNA-Asn". It matches the Rfam family "tRNA". From Rfam's summary of the family: Transfer RNA (tRNA) molecules are approximately 80 nucleotides in length. Their secondary structure includes four short double-helical elements and three loops (D, anti-codon, and T loops). The record is from RNAcentral. Lineage: Eukaryota; Bacillariophyta; Coscinodiscophyceae; Coscinodiscales; Coscinodiscaceae.